GCCUGGCUGGCUCAGUUGGUAGAGCAUGUCACUCUUGAUGUCGGGGUGGUGAGUUCAAGCCCCGUGUUGGGCA
Molecule: transfer RNA, 73 nt
Filed under: Felis catus (domestic cat)
Lineage: Eukaryota; Metazoa; Chordata; Mammalia; Carnivora; Felidae
Also listed under: 2 other names
Rfam family: tRNA
About the family: Transfer RNA (tRNA) molecules are approximately 80 nucleotides in length. Their secondary structure includes four short double-helical elements and three loops (D, anti-codon, and T loops).
Source: Rfam by way of RNAcentral